UGGGGAAUAUUGCACAAUGGGCGAAAGCGUGACGCAGCAACGCCGCGUGGGGGAAGACGGCCUUCGGGUUGUAAACCCCUUUCAGGAGGGACGAAGGUUCACCGGUGAAUAGCCGUGUGGAUUGACGGUACCUCCACAAGAAGCACCGGCUAACUACGUGCCAGCAGCCGCGGUAAUACGUAGGGUGCAAGCGUUGUCCGGAAUCAUUGGGCGUAAAGCGCGCGUAGGUGGCUUUGUAAGUCCGUUGUGAAAGUCAAAGGCUCAACCUUUGAAUGCCGAUGGAUACUGCAGAGCUAGAGUACGGAAGAGGCGAGUGGAAUUCCUGGUGUAGCGGUGGAAUGCGCAGAUAUCAGGAGGAACACCAAUAGCGAAGGCAGCUCGCUGGGACGUUACUGACACUAAGGCGCGAAAGCGUGGGGAGCGAACAG
RNAcentral lists this ribosomal RNA (428 nucleotides) under uncultured bacterium. Its description in RNAcentral is "bacterial SSU rRNA". It matches the Rfam family "Bacterial small subunit ribosomal RNA", at positions 355 to 775 of the family's 1533-position model. The record is from RNAcentral.